GGGGCUGUAGCUCAGUUGGUAGGGUGCCUGCCUCUCAUGCACAAGGCCUGGGUUCAAUCCCCAGCACCACCA
RNAcentral lists this transfer RNA (72 nucleotides) under Ictidomys tridecemlineatus (thirteen-lined ground squirrel). RNAcentral's name for it is "Spermophilus tridecemlineatus (thirteen-lined ground squirrel) tRNA". It matches the Rfam family "tRNA". From Rfam's summary of the family: Transfer RNA (tRNA) molecules are approximately 80 nucleotides in length. Their secondary structure includes four short double-helical elements and three loops (D, anti-codon, and T loops). Lineage: Eukaryota; Metazoa; Chordata; Mammalia; Rodentia; Sciuridae. The record is from Rfam by way of RNAcentral.